UGCGGAAGGAUCAUUACCGAGUGCGGGCCCCUCGGGGCCCACCUCUCCACCCGUGUUGCCCGAACCUAUGUUGCCUCGGCGGGCCCCGCGCCCGCCGACGGCCCCCCUGAACGCUGUCUGAAGUUGCAGUCUGAGACCUAUAACGAAAUUAGUUAAAACUUUCAACAACGGAUCUCUUGGUUCCGGCAUCGAUGAAGAACGCAGCGAAAUGCGAUAACUAAUGUGAAUUGCAGAAUUCAGUGAAUCAUCGAGUCUUUGAACGCACAUUGCGCCCUCUGGUAUUCCGGAGGGCAUGCCUGUCCGAGCGUCAUUGCUGCCCUCAAGCCCGGCUUGUGUGUUGGGCCCCGUCCCCCCCGCCGGGGGGACGGGCCCGAAAGGCAGCGGCGGCACCGCGUCCGGUCCUCGAGCGUAUGGGGCUUCGUCACCCGCUCUAGUAGGCCCGGCCGGCGCCAGCCGACCCCCAACCUUUAAUUAUCUCAGGUUGACCUCGGAUCAGGUAGGGAUACCCGCUGAACUUAAGCAUAUCAU
This 528-nucleotide ribosomal RNA is filed under the name Penicillium sp. FZ111. RNAcentral's name for it is "eukaryotic LSU rRNA". The stretch from base 157 to 310 matches the Rfam family "5.8S ribosomal RNA". The record is from RNAcentral. Lineage: Eukaryota; Fungi; Ascomycota; Eurotiomycetes; Eurotiales; Aspergillaceae.